Molecule: transfer RNA, 73 nt
Filed under: Ovis aries (sheep)
Lineage: Eukaryota; Metazoa; Chordata; Mammalia; Artiodactyla; Bovidae
Rfam family: tRNA
About the family: Transfer RNA (tRNA) molecules are approximately 80 nucleotides in length. Their secondary structure includes four short double-helical elements and three loops (D, anti-codon, and T loops).
Source: Rfam by way of RNAcentral
UUCCUGGCAGUCAAGUGAUUAAGACUCUGCACUUCCAAUGCAGGGAACAUGGGUUCAAUUCCUGGUCAGGGAA